Molecule: long non-coding RNA, 2080 nt
Organism: Paramisgurnus dabryanus
Lineage: Eukaryota; Metazoa; Chordata; Actinopteri; Cypriniformes; Cobitidae
Source: RefSeq, a predicted model, not a curated record
GUAAAUCUCAUGGGUCCCUUAAAAAUGUAGUUCACCGAGUCUGCUUUUGCUCAGAUGAGGCAUGCCAUUUAUUUUACCUCAAGACUGUUUUGUUGAGUAUAGCAGCAUCAGAUAUUUGUUUGGAACAUUGCCUUGGUCCACCCAGUGCCGUUCCAAAAGCUGGUUCAUUCAUGCUGUGGUUUGGAUGGUGACCUGGUCUUUGGAAGGAUCCCACUUAAGGAAACAAAAGAAAUUUGACCAGAUAUGGCAGUGAACAGCACUAUUUUCAAUUUUUCCAACUUCACAUUCCAAUCUGAAAGCAAUUGUUCUGGUGAUCACGUUUUUGAUUGCAUCGAUUCAUUUCCAGGAAGUGUUCUCACUAACUCAUAUUUGAUGAUAAACGUCAUCCUUAUGCUCCCUCUGAACUGCUGGAUUCUGUGGCUGGCAUUAAAAACUACAAGCGCUGCAUCCUCAGACUUUGUUAUUUUUAAUCAUUCUGUUGCUGAAGUUAUAAAUGACAUUUCUUUCUCUUUGUUUGUGUUAGGCGCUGUUUAUAGAAAUAAACUUCUUAUUCUUAUCGGGAAUUUCCUGGGCAGUACAUUUAUAGUGGGUCGGCCACUCUUUCAAACUUUUUUCUGUGUGGAGCGCUUCCUGGCUGUAGUCCAUCCGCUGGUCUACCUAAAAUACACAAAAUCCCCUAAAUUUAAAUUGCCAUUUGUUGCGCUUGUCUGGAUAAUAAUCCUGAUAUUUGGAUGGUUUAUUAUGGACUCCUAUCCUAAAUUGCCCAUAUGGUAUUGCAUGGGAUUGUUUCUUGCUAUGUUAAUUGUGUGUACAAUUUGCUCUGUCAUGAUUUUAUUGGUUUUGAAAAGGCCUAAGCCAGGGGAGAGAGAUAAAGAGGGAGCGUAUCAACGCAAGAGAAAGGCUUUCAUGGCAGUUAUAAUCAUUUUGAUUACAUUGUUGUUUGGAUAUGGGACAGUCGCAUGUGUUAUUGUACUGAGGGAUCAGCUUUCAUACCAUACUUACUGUUUGGUUUUAGGUCUAAGUUGGUGGUUCCUUUUGCCAAACAGUGCAGUUCAGCCAUAUCUCUAUCUGUCAAAAAUGAACAAGUUACCAUGCACUGAAAAUCUUUAAUUCAGAGAUUUUUGACAUGGAUUUUAUGUUGACAUUACAAAGUUUUUUUUUAAUAUUGUUAUAUAUGAAAAUAAUUUGUGGGUUAAAGGUGGAGUGACUACCAAAACACACUUGUAGCCAAUCAGCAGUAAGGUGCGUGCCUACUAAACGACAUUAUUGCCUGGGUUGCGUACGUGUGGGGCGGUCCUAUCAAAAGAAGGUACAGAUUCUAUUGGGGUAGGGGUGUGUUUAGAUUAGGGCUGGGUAUUGACAAGGGCCUCAGACACAAAACAUAUCAACAUAUGGGUCAUGAUACAAUGUAUCACGAUAUGGUACAAAAAUGUUGCGGUACAUUGCAAUACUUUUUUAUCAAAAAUGUAAAAAAAAUGGAGCUGAUUUUUUUUUAAGCCAAAGUGCUUCCACACGUCGGCAGGCGUUUUGACAUUUUCUGGCAUUUUCUCACUUCCGCUAACUUCUGAGACAUUGGCCGAAUAGCUGACAGACAACUGGACAGCGACAACUACAGCAGCGGCGGAGGAGGUCGUUUGCCGCACACAGAGGGAUUAGUUUUUUUUUUAAAUAUCUAUACUAGAGAUCGAAAUAUCGAUAUACUAUUGUGGGGAAAUGUAUCACGAUAGUAAGCUGUAUCGAUAUUUUUGCGCAGCCCUAUAAAUGAUUUCAAAUGUCAACAUUAGGUGUGUCAGACCGAUUGGCUAGGUUUGCCGCUUGCAGUCGAGGUAGGAGCUGAAGACAGAGCCUCUGAAGUCAGAGAUCAUGGACCCUGCCCUUAAUGCAUUGACUUACAUUUAUUCAUUUAGUAGAUGCCUUUGACGAAGUCGCAUUUAGCAUUUUGUCUAAGGAGCCAACAAUACACGUAGUCUAAAAAGCAAAAGAAUUGAACAGAAUGGAAGGAAAGAAGAACUACGUAGAAUUUUCUUAAUAAAGUUUGACUGUGGACAACUGACGGUUAGGGGUCAGCUACUGAAUUUGA